Molecule: long non-coding RNA, 864 nt
Filed under: Olea europaea subsp. europaea
Lineage: Eukaryota; Viridiplantae; Streptophyta; Magnoliopsida; Lamiales; Oleaceae
Source: RNAcentral
CCCCCAGCCAAAUAUAACUUCAUCUUCUUCCCAAACAUCACACCCACUCCGCUGCCGCCCUCCACCUUACCAACCACAGCCUAAAACGUUCAUUUUCAGGGUGCCUGCCCAAUCCGUCAAUGAAAACGAUGCCCCGGAGGAGGUCAAACACAAAGAGGAACAUUAUUGGCAUUCCACAAGACCACAACCCUAAAUUGCAUCAUUCAUUCUAAAAAUUCAAAAUCUUAAGAAAAAAUUGCUCUGAAUUUAUUCUUCUUGGCGAUUCUUUUUUGGCCUCAUCGACUAUUGCCAGUUCAGGAGGCCCAUUCACAAGGCUCAAAUUUGGCUCUGAGCGUGUCUCUGUUUCCAUUGAUAUCUACAAUCAAGGAUUCGCGUGUCGUCAAAUUCCAUCUCUUUUACAGUUUUGCUUAGAUCUGCCAUUAUUUUUUAGUUUCCUACUAUAGAUUUUUUUUUCUUAAUUGUUUGAUUUGGAAUUUGGAUUGAUUCUGUGUUUUAUAGUUGACAAAUUUGAUUGGGAUUAUUGGAUUCAGAGUUUUGUUGUUUAAUUAAAUUUUAUUCCUUUUAUGAUAAUUAAUGACUUAGUGGGAGAAAUUGAGCUCCUGUAAAUGCCUUACGAGCAAUUGACCUGUCUUUAUUUUUAUUGAUCUUAAUUUAGAUUUUUUGAUUUGUUGCAUGAGUUUUGAUUUGGAAGUUGGAUUUAUUUUGUGUUAUGUAAGUUGAUCGAACUGGCAUCUCCCAAUUUGCAAAUUCAAAUCCGACUGAUUGUCCAAAACCUGCUCAAAAGGCAGCCUAAAAAUGAUGUUUCAGGCCGUGGUUGGUGAGGUGGACGGCGGCUGUAUUGUGGGGGUGAUGUUUGGGAAGAAG